UAGGGAAUCUUCCACAAUGGACGCAAGUCUGAUGGAGCAACGCCGCGUGAGUGAAGAAGGUUUUCGGAUCGUAAAGCUCUGUUGUUGGUGAAGAAGGAUAGAGGCAGUAACUGGUCUUUAUUUGACGGUAAUCAACCAGAAAGUCACGGNUAACUACGUGCCAG
This 164-nucleotide ribosomal RNA is filed under the name uncultured bacterium. RNAcentral's name for it is "partial 16S rRNA". It matches the Rfam family "Bacterial small subunit ribosomal RNA", at positions 355 to 511 of the family's 1533-position model. The record is from RNAcentral.